Molecule: unclassified non-coding RNA, 256 nt
Filed under: uncultured fungus
Lineage: Eukaryota; Fungi
Description: sequence contains ITS1, 5.8S rRNA gene
Rfam family: 5.8S ribosomal RNA (bases 208-256)
Source: RNAcentral
UCUCCGUUGGUGAACCAGCGGAGGGAUCAUUGCUGGAACGCGCCUCGGCGCACCCAGAAACCCUUUGUGAACUUAUACCUACUGUUGCCUCGGCGUCAGGCCGGCCCCAGUGAUGGGGCCCCCCGGAGACGGGGAGCAGCCCGCCGGCGGCCAACUAAACUCUUGUUUCUACAGUGAAUCUCUGAGUACAAAACAUAAAUGAAUCAAAACUUUCAACAACGGAUCUCUUGGUUCUGGCAUCGAUGAAGAACGCAGC